This 253-nucleotide ribosomal RNA is filed under the name uncultured bacterium. Its description in RNAcentral is "partial 16S ribosomal RNA". It matches the Rfam family "Bacterial small subunit ribosomal RNA", at positions 524 to 776 of the family's 1533-position model. The record is from RNAcentral.
UACGUAGGGUGCAAGCGUUAAUCGGAAUUACUGGGCGUAAAGGGCUCGUAGGCGGCCAACUAAGUCAGACGUGAAAUCCCUCGGCUUAACCGGGGAACUGCGUCUGAUACUGGAUGGCUGGAGUUUGGGAGAGGGAUGCGGAAUUCCAGGUGUAGCGGUGAAAUGCGUAGAUAUCUGGAGGAACACCGGUGGCGAAGGCGGCAUCCUGGAUCAACACUGACGCUGAGGAGCGAAAGCCAGGGGAGCAAACGGG